UCAAACUUGGUCAUUUAGAGGAAGUAAAAGUCGUAACAAGGUUUCCGUAGGUGAACCUGCGGAAGGAUCAUUAUCGAGUUAGGGUCUUUUAGGCCCGACCUCCCAACCCUUUGUUUACUGAACCACUGUUGCUUCGGCGGGCCCGUCUCACGACCGCCAGAGGAGCGCUGAAAGGCGUGUUCUCCGGCCCGUGUCCGCCGAUGGCCAACCACAAAAUUCUGUCUGAAUCGUGUUAUGUCUAAGUCAAUGAUACAAUUAAAAGCAAAACUUUCAACAACGGAUCUCUUGGUUCUGGCAUCGAUGAAGAACGCAGC
RNAcentral lists this unclassified non-coding RNA (314 nucleotides) under uncultured fungus. RNAcentral describes it as "partial contains small subunit ribosomal RNA, internal transcribed spacer 1, and 5.8S ribosomal RNA". The stretch from base 1 to 73 matches the Rfam family "Eukaryotic small subunit ribosomal RNA", at positions 1759 to 1831 of the family's 1831-position model. The record is from RNAcentral. Lineage: Eukaryota; Fungi.